GACGAACGCUGGCGGCGUGCUUAACACAUGCAAGUCGAACGGAAAGGCCCUGCUUUUGUGGGGUGCUCGAGUGGCGAACGGGUGAGUAACACGUGAGUAACCUGCCCUUGACUUUGGGAUAACUUCAGGAAACUGGGGCUAAUACCGGAUAGGAGCUCCUGCUGCAUGGUGGGGGUUGGAAAGUUUCGGCGGUUGGGGCUGGUCUCGCGGCUUAUCCGCUUGUUGGUGGGGUAGUGGCUUACCAAGGCUUUGACGGGUAGCCGGCCUGAGAGGGUGACCGGCGACAUUGGGACUGCGAUACGGCCCAGACUGGUACGGGAGGCAGCAGGGGGGAAUAUGGCAGAAUGGGCGGAAGCCAGAUGCAGCAACGCCGCGUGCGGGAUGACGGCCUACGGGUGGUAAACCGCUUUGGCCGGUGACAUAGCGUGAGUGACGGUAAUGGGUAAAGAAGCACCGGCUAACUACGUG
This 468-nucleotide ribosomal RNA is filed under the name uncultured bacterium. Its description in RNAcentral is "partial 16S ribosomal RNA". It matches the Rfam family "Bacterial small subunit ribosomal RNA", at positions 28 to 507 of the family's 1533-position model. The record is from RNAcentral.